AUAAAAGUUAAGGUCAUACGCUAAUUUUAUCGUAUGUAAAGUGAAUUUCACAAAAAACAUUGUUAGAUGCCAAAACUUGGCCUAUUUCAUAAAUUCGAGGACACUAUAUAAUCUAUAGAAAAUGAUCAUUUUGUAAAGUUAAAUAAUACCCAAUACAAUAAAAUUUGUCCAGAAAGUAUAAACAAUAUUUGAAGGAAAUUCCUUAAUAAUUAAGAUGAAACAAUAAAAUUGCUGGGAAACAAUGCUGUUGUUGAGCAUUUACUGACAGAAGUAGCCAAAAAGCCAGUAAUUUGAGUUACCUCCCUUGGCGUAAAAAAUGUAAAAUGAUCCGAAACUUGCAUAAAUUGUAAUUUUCGAAGAAAACAGUAUUUAUUUAGAACAUUUUUCACUUAUCUCGAUUUUUUUUAUCAAGUGUAAACGUGGAAUUAAUUUUUUUUUUAAUUUGAUGGUGAAAAAUAAAUAUUCUGCCCGGACCUUAUCAAAGUUUCGUGGGUAAACAGAUAUGGCUGACAAGUGAUAGAAACGUGAAGUUUUUCUAGAAGUGGUCCUUAUUUUAGGGACUUGUCAACCCUUAAUAAUUGUUCAAAAGACAUAAGUGGAUAUUCAAGAUCUUUUAAAGUUGGAAAUGCGUGUAAUAUUCAACCGAGAUUGACCCCCUGCUGUACAGAUCGGGGUACUUCGAAUUCGACGUAAAAGUUUAACUGUUUAAACUAUCGUGCACGGUGCAGAUGCUUACUAGUAUGCCGAGGUCAUUGCGAUUCUUUGGGGAUUUACUGGAGGCAACCACCACCAAAUGUUGUUAUCUACUACACAAAGGAAAGUGUAAAGCAGACAGAGCAGUAAACUUCAAUGUUUCAAGGGAAAUAUUUGUUCCCGUUGGAAGUGAUUUGGAAAAUAAUUAUAGUCAAAUCACCCCUACUGCAAGCCAAUUAUCAGACUGUAUCAAUCUCAGCUGAGUCCAAGAUAGGAAGAGGCUUUGGAGAGAACACAGAAUUACUACAGACAAAAGACUUGUGAAGUUAUAAGGGGAAUUGCAGAACUCAUAGCUCCACUUCAAUCUAGAUAUGUUGACAGUUAUUUCACAGAAACACUUUGCAGCUGAAAAAGAUAAUCAAAUGAUGACCACUACUUUAACUCUAUGGUUGCAGCAUAUUUCAAUUUUUGAAGUGACAAAUUUUAUUCCUGUUUGUGAACCAAUAUUCAAAAGAAACACUGCUAUGGCAUUAGACAUAAAUUAGAAGAGAGUGGUGGGGUGGCAAAAUAAGAUUCCAUACUGUGAAAUGUAUCAAUUGUUAAUAUACAUGUAUCAAUAUAAAUUCAGUGCCAAUUUUCAUAAUUUCUAGGGGGAAAGUUUGUUUGUAACAAAUGUCAGAAAUAUGUACUAGCUCUUACUUUGCAAACCAUGCUACUAAGUACCAGGCAUUAAGACAUGAUUUGUUUAUUGUCAUUUGUUAAACAGAGACAGAUCCAGUGAUUUGAAAGGGGGGGGGGGUCCAGAAAAAUGAUCUAAAAUCUGCAUUAGGUCAUAUCCAUGAAUUGAUAAAGUAAAUAUGUUUAUUAUUGAUUGCUAGUUACAUGUAACCUUUUAUGCAUCAGUUGAAGAUACUUUAUGAACAUUUUCUGUCACUGGGUAA
Long non-coding RNA from Ostrea edulis (European flat oyster), 1634 nucleotides. RefSeq lists it as uncharacterized. The transcript has 3 exons. Lineage: Eukaryota; Metazoa; Mollusca; Bivalvia; Ostreida; Ostreidae. The record is from RefSeq and is a predicted model, not a curated record.